This 241-nucleotide long non-coding RNA is filed under the name Elaeis guineensis (African oil palm). RNAcentral's name for it is "long non-coding RNA (EGUI_LNC061757)". Lineage: Eukaryota; Viridiplantae; Streptophyta; Magnoliopsida; Arecales; Arecaceae. The record is from RNAcentral.
AGGGAUUGUUCAUAUAUCAUUUAUAUCUAAUUUUAAUUGAAAUAAAUCAGAUUAAAAAGAUAGAAGAUUAUUAUGAGAAAAGGAUCUACCUUUUAAAGAUAAUUGGAUUCCUAUUAUGUGUCAGGGUAGUGCCUAUAUAAAGGGUAUGUCUCUAUGGUUUCUAGGUAAUUGAUUUUUUGUGAAAAAUCUCUCUGUCCCUUUUCCACACCUCCUCUCCUCCCUCUCUUCUCUUCCACACCCA